GUGGAGCCGACCUUGAAAUACCACCCUUUAAUGUUUGAUGUUCUAACGUGGAUCCGUAAUCCGGGUUGCGGACAGUGUCUGGUGGGUAGUUUGACUGGGGCGGUCUCCUCCUAAAGAGUAACGGAGGAGCACGAAGGUUGGCUAAUCCUGGUCGGACAUCAGGAGGUUAGUGCAAUGGCAUAAGCCAGCUUGACUGCGAGCGUGACGGCGCGAGCAGGUGCGAAAGCAGGUCAUAGUGAUCCGGUGGUUCUGAAUGGAAGGGCCAUCGCUCAACGGAUAAAAGGUACUCCGGGGAUAACAGGCUGAUACCGCCCAAGAGUUCAUAUCGACGGCGGUGUUUGGCACCUCGAUGUCGGCUCAUCACAUCCUGGGGCUGAAGUAGGUCCCAAGGGUAUGGCUGUUCGCCAUUUAAAGUGGUACGCGAGCUGGGUUUAGAACGUCGUGAGACAGUUCGGUCCCUAUCUGCCGUGGGCGCUGGAGAACUGAGGGGGGCUGCUCCUAGUACGAGAGGACCGGAGUGGACGCAUCACUGGUGUUCGGGUUGUCAUGCCAAUGGCACUGCCCGGUAGCUAAAUGCGGAAGAGAUAAGUGCUGAAAGCAUCUAAGCACGAAACUUGCCCCGAGAUGAGUUCUCCCUGAGACUUAGAGUCUCCUGAAGGAACGUUGAAGACGACGACGUUGAUAGGCCGGGUGUGUAAGCGCAGCGAUGCGUUGAGCUAACCGGUACUAAUGAACCGUGAGGCUUAACCUUACAACGCCGAAG
Molecule: ribosomal RNA, 763 nt
Filed under: Salmonella enterica subsp. enterica serovar Infantis
Lineage: Bacteria; Pseudomonadati; Pseudomonadota; Gammaproteobacteria; Enterobacterales; Enterobacteriaceae
Also listed under: 1 other name
Description: partial 23S ribosomal RNA
Rfam family: Bacterial large subunit ribosomal RNA
Source: RNAcentral